Xyrichtys novacula (pearly razorfish) is the source of this 5132-nucleotide non-coding RNA. NCBI's taxonomy places the organism in Eukaryota, Metazoa, Chordata, Actinopteri, Labriformes, Labridae. The record is from the annotation of a GenBank genome assembly.
UGCUCUGAAAUUGGGGCAUUGAACAAGAUACAGCCUAGUCAGCACCAGGGAAGCUGACAUGGGAAUCCAAAAAGUCAGUUUUGGCUUUAAUUGAGCACAAAAGAGUCCUUUCAACAGUUUGGGGAGUGGAAACUCAAAUUCUGUCCUUCUUAAUAAAAUAUAGUGCUUUGCUAGAUAAAAAAAAUGUUGGGAAAUGGGAAAAUCUUGGACCCCAAGGGUUUCUGACCCUACUUUGAGGAGAAUCGGGCUGUAAGAGAUGGAGUAGUUGCAGGCUGUACUUUGCAGAUGUAUUUGAUAAUUUAUCAGGCGCCUGUUCCCUGAGCAGCAGAGAUAACCUACAACCUGCAGCCGGAGAGACACCUUGAGUCACGAGGUCUGGAGCUCAAAAUGAAGUUUUCAUGCUGACUCAAUGAUAUUCUUAUAGAUAAGAGUGAUACUGCAAAAUCACAUCCUUAACGCAGUUUACUUUUCAGGGAAGAGUCUUACAGAGUCUCCCUAGCAAGCUGGGAUUUAUUAAACAGGGGUUUUAUAACUACAAUGUUUAUUUCAUGGGUGUUUUACUCUGCUUCAUCCAGUUAUUGUUGCUCUGCAUGGUUUGCAGAUGGAUUACUUGUGACACUGACCUUUACCUGAAUUUAUUCACUUGCCAGCAGCUCUAAUAGAAAUGUCCUUAGCUGUAGUUUGAGUGUUUUUCACUGCUAAGUAUAAGUGUUAUAUGCAGUUACAGAGCUGAACCCCCGCUGCUCAGACUUGUCCCUUCUUGGCCCGGAAAACAUGCCGCUGAUGAAAUUUUCAUUGAGCAGAUGAAGCUGAGCGCAGUUUCAUAAUUCCCCUGCGAGUUGCAUCAGCUUGUUCUGAUAUCAUUCUAUCAAGACCCACUAAGAGCGGAUUUGAUGUCUUGAUAGCUGAGGGGAGCGAUUCUGUUUGAGGAUGAUGCUUCCCAAGGUACACUGGGGUUUGGAGUACACGCAGUGUGACUGAGGUGUUGUUUGGUAUCAACAUGGCACUUUUCCAUCUGAGCAUUUUAUUGUCCCUGAACUGCAGGCAAAACAAUGCUCUCUGCUUGAGUUGACUAAAGGACGACACGCUUCAAAGAAAAGCCAAACGGGGACUCAUGUGUGCCCGUGUGUGAACUACAGAGUGCAGAAGUUCUUACAUUACAAAUUUUUCAAAACCAUUAUUCACUGUGGAUCACUAUGUUACCUGGAGACUGUAACUUGUGAUUGAUGUGGUGCAUUCAUACUGGGAAUGCGACGUCUGUAAAUUACCUGAAUGUUUUGACAUGUCUGAUAAGCUUCUCCCCUAUUUUCAAUAGUCACAAAUAUUGAUUUAAAUAUGUCUAUGCGCAAAACAAUAACUAGAGCACUGUGCACUUUUAAGAAAAAUGAUCACGGUCCAGGACUGUUGUGUAUAAUCCUGGACGAUAACAUCUGCAAAACUGACCCCCAAGUUCCACGGCAUCUGGAACGGCUGCCGUAUGCGCCGAUCGCAGCUGAUCGUUUCCAUUCAAGUUAAUGUGUCAAUUUCUGCCACCUUUUUCCGUUCUGCUGCGGAUCAGCAGACUACGCAGCCGAUCGUAAGAGUUCUAUUUUUCCCGGAUGCUGCUGCAUGCUGGAUAAAUUCAAAGGAAGUUGGGCACAGACACAAAAUAAAACAUCUGUCUCCCUUUCAGGCGGAUCAUAUUUCACACCAUGCAAAUGGGCGGGGAUGAACAAGUGAAAGGUUUUUCGACAGUAUUUCACCCUGUUGACACCAUGGAUGAGAAGAUGCUGAUUCUAGAAGACUAGAAGUGGAUUUCCUCCUCUGGAAGGACACAAUCUACUGCUUAUAUGGUUAUGUGGCUGUCUUCAUAGAGACAACUCAUUAUCGCGUGAUUUUAUGUAAAUCCCCAGGUUCUUGUGCGUUUUCACAAUUCCUGCUGUCCGAAAUUCGCCUCACAAGCUUAUCCAGUAGGAAUUAGCGGGCAAAUGCAGUGCAAAUUACGGCCGAGGGGGGCAGUGUCACCGCUGUGAUCUGACCAUUGGUCACCGGUCCUUUGUGCUGGUUCAGAAUGUGACAGAUGGCCUAAACUCUGUGGUGUGCCAUCUAUGGGUAUCAGACACAAAGCUAAACAGCAAGAACAUCUUCAACACCCCGUCACUCCUGUCCUGGCUCCUCUCCACUGUACAUUGUACCAAUGAUUUUAAGACUUCACUGAUCACUUUUAAAGCUCGCCUGGGUAUUCCUUAAAUUUCAUUUAAGGAAAUACUGAUCCCUGAUGAGCCAUCUCACAGCUUUAAGCUCCUUUAGAUGUUGAAUUGCAGCAGCCCUAGAGCUCCCAAGUACAUCUGAACUCCUUAUCUUAACUGUAAGAAAAACCCCGGCCAUCCAGCUGUGGGAACUCAUUUAGGCUUCUUGUUUCUGUUAAAGGGAUAGUCAGACCUCAAAAGUCUGAACAUUCAAGUCUAACCUACUCAAGAAUUAUUUCUCCAUCACCUUUGUGGUGCAUCUUCUCUCUCAACCAGUCCUGGAGCACAGCCAAGGCUUGUAACGUGUUACAGUUUGUAGUUUCUCUGUGUACGUUUUCUUCAAUUUGGUAGAUGUCUCCUCCACUCAGCUCCUCUGCCAUUUAUCCAGAUCAUUUGGCUUUGAAAUACUGUACAUUGAAUUUGCAAUAUGAAAAGGACUGUUGUUUGAUGACUGACAGGAAUCCUGACUAGAUUUUUAACCUCCAAAUACACAUCUUUGUUUUUCUUUCUGAAUCACAUGGAUUUACUCAUGUGAUGUUUUUUAACCUAGCAAAUAUUCAGUUUGCUCAUGACGUUGGUAUGGUUGACUUUGAUAGACUCAUGAUGUACAAAAAACUUCACUAUUUCUCAGCUCUAGAUCUAACAGGGAAUAAAGCCCACUCAAACCAUCAAAUUGUGAACAUUCCAUUUAUUUGUUCAAGUUCACAAUAAGCUUGGUAUACAAAGACAGAUAUAAUGAUUUGAUUUGAGAGUGGUUUAAAUUGUACUGGAAAAAUGAGCUUGAAUCCAUGCUGCCAUUAGAGACUCCAUCUGUCAGCACCAAAUGUCCGUCAUCUAAAAUUGCAGCACCUAUAAAAAGAGGUCUGAACCUGUCUUUGUGAAGCUAGUGAAUAUAGUGCUUUCUAAAAGCCAAAGAGAAAGACCAUGAACCUCCAAAUGACUCACAGCUCCUUUGUGACUUUAUGAGAGACUUGGACUCUUGGCUUGGUUUUUACUGUGAUUUUCUGUGAGAGGAAAAGCCGACACUCCAGGUCAUUCAUUGUGAUUGCUCCCUGCUUCUCAUCCAGUAUGAAGGGAACAACUCUGUGAGCGGAAACCACUACCGAGUGUGAGGUUACUCAAUCACCAUGGUGACAGAAGUGUGGCCGCCCCAUCAAUUCCUUGGAAGGCAAAGAAAUACUUUAUUUUCUUGAAGGACUGUAUUAAAAGCAAUAACUUCUCACUCUACUGUUCAUUGACCCGCUACUGAUGAUUUAAAAUGUGAGGUCUGUGAUUAUACUGUAAACUAUGUCCAAUCACACUGGAGAGUCUAAGCUCUGUCUGAGACCCAGACCAUCCAUAUUACGUCUGUUUUAUAAUUUGCCUCUAGCAUUGUGGCUUUGUCCACCUCAUCUAUUUUUAAUUAUGAACUAUUGGGUUGGGCUAAGAAAGAGUAAGAGCUCAUCGAACCCUAGAUUACUGAAGUUGAAUAGUUUGGCUGGUGAAAUACUAAAAAGGUUGAGUCUGAAUAGCUCAGGGUGAAUCAGAGACACAAAUGACAUAUCUGACAGAUGGGAACACUGUAGCUGAUGCACACCAUCUAAUCUAAUCUAAUUCAGUGUUUCAAUUCUGUAAGCCUUUCCUGUGUGGCUGUAUUAAGUUUAAUAAUGCUUCGUUUUGUAUAGACUCUUUUCAAAGGUCAAAAGGACUAGACUGAAUAGAGGCGAUUAUCAAGCAUGCUUUCCUGUGCAAUGCACACUUCAUAUUAGUUAAUGUACAAACUGUGGUAUGGAUGUAUGACAUUAUUUUGCCCCUUCCUCUACUAUUGGAUCAUUGGAUUUCAUUGUAACGCUAACUUUUUGGCACAUGAGCUAAUGUAAGCAAUGUGUCUUUGUGUCUCUCUCCUCAUUACAAUUGGUAUAGCAUAUCAAACACCUUCAAGUCCGCCCGUAAGUCAGUGUACAUUUCUCUAAACUUUGACCUCAUCAUCUUGCUAGAAACUGUAAUACUGAUCAAUGCCUCCUCUCAUGCAGAUUAUGUCCUUUUGAAUCAUUAAUUCCCAGUUUCUAUCAGUACAGGCCCCACAUUUUUACCGUUUUGCCUCUCACUCUUUAAAAAUCAAUGGAGGAGUAUUUUUCUGCUGCUUCUGAUGAAAAAACUUUACAGGAUUUUGGUUCACCUGCUUUCUCUGUCCUGCCAUGUGACGUGCAACAUUUGGGUGAAAGUCAAAAACAGCAGGUGCUUCACUGCAUUUUGCUUGUGCUCGUGCAGGAGCAACCUUAACAUGCCAGAGCCCUUCUCAUGGUCAAGGAAGUAAUGUGCACUCGCACUAGUCAAAGAAAGUUGGAUUUUGGAGGUGAAAUAUACCAGAUUACAGUGCAGGCUAUGUGGGCGCACCAUAAUUCAAGUUGUAAAUGUACUUUAAAUGAUUACUAUGAUAAAUUUAUGGAUUCUUAACAACGAGGAGGAUAUUUUAAAUUGUUUAUUUAGACUCGUGGUUAAUGGUUGGCCAGUUACUGCUGGGGACAAAGUGAGGAUGAAAACAAGGCAGCGGGAGAAGUCAAAAGACACAAGGAGCUGAAUGAAAGAGACAUCAAACAAAUUGAAGAAGACAUAACAGAGAGAGAAAACAAAACAGAGCACAGUCUUUGGCAGUGUUUGCUGAAAGGAAAAUGGUCAAAACCCUUAAAAAAAUAAGGGGUAAAGAAUCGUACUCAGGCACUGUGGUAAUUUUAUUCAUAGGUUUCAAUGCCAACAGAAAGAGGCUGAUGUUGGACUUUACUGUGAAUGAGUUUAUCACAGAAAAGAGGAGCCUGAUGUUUCAUUAAAUCAUAAAUAAAAAUGUUAAAUUUUAUGUUAAUCUGGCCCACAAGUAGGCUGAUUAGAAUAUAUAUAUCUGCUAUAAAACUUCUACUUACUGUGGGA